AGCACAGCUCCUGCUGCCCCAUUUCCCUGUCACUCCUCUCAGAGGACAGCCUUAUUACUUCUCCACAUCUCCUUUUCAGCCAAAAGCUGUAACUCUGCUUGCUCUCUGCUUCAUAGGAGUCUCUCUCACAAUGAAGUUCCUGCUGCUGUCCUGCAUUCUGAGCAUGGUCCUUGCUGUCACCAAUGCACAGCAGCUUGACAGCAAUGAAAGCUCCGGUUCAGACAGCUCAGAACAGUACCCACAAGAAAAGACCAUUUUCUUUCCUUUGCAUUCCAUUCUUCGCCUCCUCCAGAAACGCCCCAAGCAUGCUUAGCCAUCUGUUUUGCUGUGAGUCUGAGGACAGCCAGCUUUAUCCUCAGCCACCAGCAGCUGCCCGGUCACCUGCUCACAGGGCUCUGUUUUCCAAAGCUGACGACGCUGUUGGGG
Molecule: long non-coding RNA, 426 nt
Organism: Tympanuchus pallidicinctus (lesser prairie-chicken)
Lineage: Eukaryota; Metazoa; Chordata; Aves; Galliformes; Phasianidae
Exons: 4
Source: RefSeq, a predicted model, not a curated record